AGAGAGAGACAUGCGCGCAUAUCAAUAAGCGGAGGAAAAGAAACUAACGAGGAUUCCCUUAGUAACGGCGAGUGAAGCGGGAAGAGCUCAAAUUUGAAAUCUUCAAGGGUUCUACCUUUACGAAUUGUAGUUUAUAGAAGUGUUUUCUGUUAGUGGAGUGGCAAAAGUUCUUUGGAAUAGGACAUCAUAGAGGGUGAGAAUCCCGUAUUUGGUCAUUCCUCCUAGCGUUGUGAUACACUUUCAACGAGUCGGAUUGUUUGGGAAUGCAGUCCAAAAUGGGUGGUAAAUUUCAUCUAAAGCUAAAUAUUGGCGAGAGACCGAUAGCGAACAAGUACCGUGAGGGAAAGAUGAAAAGAACUUUGAAAAGAGAGUUAAACAGUACGUGAAAUUGUCAAAAGGGAAGCGUUUGACACCAGUGUUGUUUUUCCGAAAAUCAAUUACGAAUGUUUUAGUUUUUGAGGAGUUAUGACUUCAUCGGCUUGCUCCUUUCUUUAUGAAACUUUCUUAAUACACUUUUCGGUUAACAAGUCAACAUCAAUUUCUUUUGUUGUAAAAGGGUAUGAGGAAGGUGGCUUUCUUUUCGGAGAAAGUGUUUAUAGCCUUGUGCCUCUGCAAUCGGAGAGAUUGAGGUCUGCAGCGUAGAUCCUUCGGGGUUAGAUACGUUUGUGCUAAGUUAUAGCUUUUCAUAGACAACUUGUUGACUAUGUUUAGUCUUGUAGCUUACUCGCUGACGCUAUUUUACCUACGCUUAGGAUGUUGAUAGUCACAGCGUGUAC
Molecule: ribosomal RNA, 776 nt
Filed under: uncultured Neocallimastigales
Lineage: Eukaryota; Fungi; Neocallimastigomycota; Neocallimastigomycetes; Neocallimastigales
Description: partial large subunit ribosomal RNA
Rfam family: Eukaryotic large subunit ribosomal RNA
Source: RNAcentral